AUGCAGUCGAGCGGACAGAUGGGAGCUUGCUCCCUGAUGUUAGCGGCGGACGGGUGAGUAACACGUGGGUAACCUGCCUGUAAGACUGGGAUAACUCCGGGAAACCGGGGCUAAUACCGGAUGGUUGUCUGAACCGCAUGGUUCAGACAUAAAAGGUGGCUUCGGCUACCACUUACAGAUGGACCCGCGGCGCAUUAGCUAGUUGGUGAGGUAACGGCUCACCAAGGCGACGAUGCGUAGCCGACCUGAGAGGGUGAUCGGCCACACUGGGACUGAGACACGGCCCAGACUCCUACGGGAGGCAGCAGUAGGGAAUCUUCCGCAAUGGACGAAAGUCUGACGGAGCAACGCCGCGUGAGUGAUGAAGGUUUUCGGAUCGUAAAGCUCUGUUGUUAGGGAAGAACAAGUGCCGUUCAAAUAGGGCGGCACCUUGACGGUACCUAACCAGAAAGCCACGGCUAACUACGUGCCAGCAGCCGCGGUAAUACGUAGGUGGCAAGCGUUGUCCGGAAUUAUUGGGCGUAAAGGGCUCGCAGGCGGUUUCUUAAGUCUGAUGUGAAAGCCCCCGGCUCAACCGGGGAGGGUCAUUGGAAACUGGGGAACUUGAGUGCAGAAGAGGAGAGUGGAAUUCCACGUGUAGCGGUGAAAUGCGUAGAGAUGUGGAGGAACACCAGUGGCGAAGGCGACUCUCUGGUCUGUAACUGACGCUGAGGAGCGAAAGCGUGGGGAGCGAACAGGAUUAGAUACCCUGGUAGUCCACGCCGUAAACGAUGAGUGCUAAGUGUUAGGGGGUUUCCGCCCCUUAGUGCUGCAGCUAACGCAUUAAGCACUCCGCCUGGGGGAGUACGGUCGCAAGACUGAAACUCAAAGGAAUUGACGGGGGCCCGCACAAGCGGUGGAGCAUGUGGUUUAAUUCGAAGCAACGCGAAGAACCUUACCAGGUCUUGACAUCCUCUGACAAUCCUAGAGAUAGGACGUCCCCUUCGGGGGCAGAGUGACAGGUGGUGCAUGGUUGUCGUCAGCUCGUGUCGUGAGAUGUUGGGGUUAAGUCCCGCAACGAAGCGCAACCCU
This 1071-nucleotide ribosomal RNA is filed under the name Bacillus velezensis. Its description in RNAcentral is "bacterial SSU rRNA". It matches the Rfam family "Bacterial small subunit ribosomal RNA", at positions 55 to 1105 of the family's 1533-position model. The record is from RNAcentral. Lineage: Bacteria; Bacillati; Bacillota; Bacilli; Caryophanales; Bacillaceae.